This is a non-coding RNA of Misgurnus anguillicaudatus (oriental weatherfish), 543 nucleotides long. The record is from RefSeq and is a predicted model, not a curated record. Lineage: Eukaryota; Metazoa; Chordata; Actinopteri; Cypriniformes; Cobitidae.
AAACGUCGCAGUGUGGGUCGCUGGGUAACGAUAUGUAAAGUAAUCGCCGGACGGGAUCUGAGGAGGUAAAUGAGCGCGUUUCUCCCGGUGUUGAUGAUUAUUGCCUCGCGGAUUGUGUCGAGCUCCCGCCGCAGCUCUCGCUUUGGCUGAGAGAGAGUCUGAGCUCUUGCUCUUGGAGGCUCCUGUCCAGCCUCUGUGUCUCUGACUCCAGCACUGAUGGGACGAGAUGCUGGGACACCACUGCUAGAGAUUCAUUCAGAUCCUGUCUCAGAGACAUCACACUCUGACUGUUCUUCAGCGAGCGAUCUAUAAACUCUGCUUUCUGCUUAUGAUCAGCAGCCAACAUGAGACGCAGAUGGUGAACCUAGGAAAGUUGGUUAAAGUUGAUUUCAAUCCAAAUUCUAAGGGCAGUCUCCGCUUGAGCGAUGAUGGAGAGGACAGUGGACAGUCCUUCACUGGAUACAUCCUCUACAGACUGCUCGCUUAUCUGCUGAGAGUUCAAAACCCCCCACUGCGCACAAAAAAUGAAUCACUUACAUUCAU